RNAcentral lists this ribosomal RNA (500 nucleotides) under uncultured bacterium. Its description in RNAcentral is "partial 16S ribosomal RNA". It matches the Rfam family "Bacterial small subunit ribosomal RNA", at positions 30 to 523 of the family's 1533-position model. The record is from RNAcentral.
AUUGAACGCUGGCGGCAUGCUUUACACAUGCAAGUCGAACGGUAACAGGGUGCUUGCACCGCUGACGAGUGGCGAACGGGUGAGUAAUGCGUCGGAACGUGCCGAGUAGUGGGGGAUAACGCAGCGAAAGUUGUGCUAAUACCGCAUACGUACUGAGGUAGAAAGUGGGGGACCUUCGGGCCUCACGCUAUUCGAGCGGCCGACGUCUGAUUAGCUAGUAGGUGAGGUAAAGGCUCACCUAGGCGACGAUCAGUAGCGGGUCUGAGAGGAUGAUCCGCCACACUGGGACGGAGACACGGCCCAGACUCCUACGGGAGGCAGCAGUGGGGAAUUUUGGACAAUGGGCGAAAGCCUGAUCCAGCCAUGCCGCGUGUCUGAAGAAGGCCUUCGGGUUGUAAAGGACUUUUGUCAGGGAGGAAAUCCCUAGUGCUAAUAACACUGGGGGAUGACAGUACCUGAAGAAUAAGCACCGGCUAACUACGUGCCAGCCGCCGCCGUAA